AUGAACGCCGGAGCAGCGGCGAAGGGUAAGGGAGCUGCGGACGCGGAGCAGCGGCAGAGGGUUAAGGAGCUGCGGACGGCGGAGCAGCGGCGGACCUUGGGCUCUCGAUUGGAGCGGAGGGUGGCGCCGGCGAGGGACCUGCGGCCGGCGGGGAAGGAUGUCGAAGUUGCGGCGGAGGGUGAGGGAGCUGCGGACGGCGGAGCAGCGCAACAACGGCAGACCUCGGUGACGGAGCUCUCAAUUGGAGUGGAGGCAGGCAGCCGGCGGGGAAGGACAACGGCGCUGCGGCGGAGGGAGACAGAGCUGCGGAUGGCGGAGCAGCGCAGCAACAGCCGAAAUCAGGCUCUUGAUUGGGGCGGAGGCCAACAACCGCGCGCAGUGGAUCUCGGUAUAUACAGAUGGCGACCUGUAGUAUUGCUUGACAGUGUUGUUUUCUCCCCUCUGCGAGAAUACUUGACAGCGGCUGUUUCCGAAGAGCUCACCAAUCAGUUGAUUAGUAGCUUUCGGAAGGCGGCGGACAGUAUGAUGGCGAGCAAGGCGGCGCGUGCGUGCCACGGCGGACUACGUGUUUCUGUGCCAGGGGAGAGACGCCUCGGUGCACUCCGUGAACCCCCUUGCAUGCAGCCAUUAGCGGGUGAGUCUGCCGCCCACAUCGUCGCUGCUCCCUUGGGUUGCCGGAGUGGCUCUGCGCGGGAGAGCCACCGCGGCGACGAGGCACACGUUCAGCGGUUCAGCCUCGUCGGCAUCUGCCUGACGACCGAGCUCAUGGAGUUUGCCGGCGAGAUGGAGGCCCUUCUUGGCCGGCUAGACAUUGGCAACGGCAACGAGCACGAACAGUUUUGCAUGGAAGCAUUGUGCCUUAUCGAGAGGAUGGACGUAGAAGCCGGGCAAGCGUGCGGCCUCCAGCCGGUGCCCGAGGUGUCCAGCGAUAUGAUUGACAUCGACUUCGACUGCGGCUCACCUUAG
Molecule: ribosomal RNA, 966 nt
Filed under: Triticum aestivum (bread wheat)
Lineage: Eukaryota; Viridiplantae; Streptophyta; Magnoliopsida; Poales; Poaceae
Description: partial small subunit ribosomal RNA
Source: RNAcentral